RNAcentral lists this ribosomal RNA (468 nucleotides) under uncultured bacterium. RNAcentral's name for it is "partial 16S ribosomal RNA". It matches the Rfam family "Bacterial small subunit ribosomal RNA", at positions 28 to 507 of the family's 1533-position model. The record is from RNAcentral.
GACGAACGCUGGCGGCGUGCUUAACACAUGCAAGUCGAACGGAAAGGCCCUGCUUUUGUGGGGUGCUCGAGUGGCGAACGGGUGAGUAACACGUGAGUAACCUGCCCUUGACUUUGGGAUAACUUCAGGAAACUGGGGCUAAUACCGGAUAGGAGCUCCUGCUGCAUGGUGGGGGUUGGAAAGUUUCGGCGGUUGGGGAUGGACUCGCGGCUUAUCGGCUUGUUGGUGGGGUAGUGGCUUACCAAGGCUUUGACGGGUAGCCGGCCUGAGAGGGUGACCGGCCACAUUGGGACUGAGAUACGGACCAGACUCCUACGGGAGGCAGCAGUGGGGAAUAUUGCACAGUGGGCGGAAGCCUGAUGCAGCAACGCCGCGUGCGGGAUGACGGCCUUCGGGUUGUAAACCGCUUUCGCAUGUGACGAAGCGUGAGUGACGGUAAUGGGUAAAGAAGCACCGGCUAACUACGUG